Molecule: non-coding RNA, 1020 nt
Organism: Odocoileus virginianus texanus
Lineage: Eukaryota; Metazoa; Chordata; Mammalia; Artiodactyla; Cervidae
Source: RefSeq, a predicted model, not a curated record
GUCAGGGAAACCCUCUGUGAUAAGGAGGUACGGAGCAGAACUGCAGAAGUAAUGUGCCUGGUUCCUCGUUAAUAAUAAAUAAUGCUGUGUUUGAGCAGGAGCCAGGACCAGGGUGGCUGGAGCUGAGUUGGUUUAGGUGAGGGGAAAGAAGUGGAAACGGAUGAGGCAUAGAGGUCAUGGGAGCAGAUCGCGAGGAGCCCUGCAGGACUCUUUUAAGAAUCCGAAUUUCACUAUCAGAGAAAAGGGGACUUACUGAGGAAUUGGCCUCCAGGGAGCCGUGGGACAGGACUGAAUGAAUAAUAACAGAAUCCCUGAGGCUGCAGUGCACAGAGUGUCCUCUAGGGGGCAAGGAGCAGAGACAGCGCCCCAGUGAGCAGGCUGCUGCAGUGGUCUACAUGGGAUUCUCAGCCUGCCUUCUGCCUGGAGCCUAAGUUAGCUGGUUCCUGCAAGAACAAGACAGCCAGAGGGCAUGCGAAGAGUGGUCCCUGAAACUCUGAAGGCCAAGGAUGACCCCUGCAGGGCUGGGCUGUGGCUGCUUCCGAAACAGUUCAGUCUUCUCACAGUACUUCUCUCUCCUACCCUCCUCAGCAGAACCUGCCUAUUUCCUUUCCGCUAUUGGUCAACACAUCUAAGUCUCAUCCAGCUGGCUCUCAGGACCAUGAGAGGAUGUCUCCCGUGUGCCCCUGGCACUUCACACAGUUCCUGACACCAACGAGACAGCUUAUAAUUAUUUGAGGAAAGAAGGAAGGAAUGUAAGCGCGCAUUCCUCAUGACCAGAUUAAGUACAAGGCUGUGGUGUAACACAGGAUUUUUGUUUUUACCUCCAUCCUCACGGCAUCCUCACCUUCAACCUGUCCCCACAAUCACUGCUCUCCUUCUGGGUGGCCAAGAGGAAUUUCCAGCAUUCAGUUCUCAUUGUCAGUAAUGAGAGAAGUGUUUGGGAUAAAGAAGCCUCUUGACCCCACAGUGAUGCUGUGAUUUUCCUUUCUGUAGCUUCAAACAUUGUGGCUUAUAUUUCAA